This 253-nucleotide ribosomal RNA is filed under the name uncultured bacterium. RNAcentral's name for it is "partial 16S ribosomal RNA". It matches the Rfam family "Bacterial small subunit ribosomal RNA", at positions 524 to 776 of the family's 1533-position model. The record is from RNAcentral.
UACGGAGGGUGCGAGCGUUAAUCGGAAUGACUGGGCGUAAAGGGAGCGUAGGCGGACUUUUAAGUGGGAUGUGAAAUCCCCGGGCUUAACCUGGGAACUGCGGUUGUGACUGCAAGACUAGAGUGUGGCAGAGGGGGGUGGAAUUCCACGUGUAGCAGUGAAAUGCGUAGAGAUGUGGAGGAACACCGAUGGCGAAGGCAGCCCCCUGGGUCAACACUGACGCUCAUGCACGAAAGCGUGGGGAGCAAACAGG